Molecule: long non-coding RNA, 280 nt
Filed under: Olea europaea subsp. europaea
Lineage: Eukaryota; Viridiplantae; Streptophyta; Magnoliopsida; Lamiales; Oleaceae
Source: RNAcentral
UACGUCCGCCAAAAACAUCAUUUUAUUAAUGUAAUGUCAAGAUGAACAAAUAGGAAUAUGAAGCACAAAACGCCAGCUUUUGCGCAUUGAUUAAUUCAAACAAAACAAGAAUUUGAAUCCAUACAAGAAGAAAAGAAAACUGCAUAUAGUUCUUGUCCUACAUGUUUGUAAAAUAGCACAAUGGACGCCACAUGACCAUUGCAAGGCACACCAUCCUGCCGGGCAGGGGUUGUCAUGAUCCAUCCAUAAAGAGAAGUGCCAUCACCUUGAUAUGUCCAGC